Molecule: ribosomal RNA, 136 nt
Filed under: uncultured eukaryote
Lineage: Eukaryota
Description: partial 18S ribosomal RNA
Rfam family: Eukaryotic small subunit ribosomal RNA
Source: RNAcentral
UGGUGGAGUGAUUUGUCUGGUUAAUUCCGAUAACGAACGAGACCUUAACCUGCUAACUAGUUUAUUCCAUUACAUGGUUUACAACUUCUUAGAGGGACUAUGUGGACAAAACACAUGGAAGUUUGAGGCAAUAACA